GGUAGUCCGCACGAGCGCACCCUUGUCGUUAGUUGCCAUCAGGUAAUGCUGGGGACUCUAGCGAGACCGCUGGUGAAGAGCCAGAGGAAGGUGGGGAUGACGUCAAGUCCGCAUGGCCCUUAUGCCCUGGGCUGCACACGUGCUACAAUGGUCGGUACAGAGGGUUGCCAAACCGCAAGGUGGAGCGAAUCCCAAAAAGCCGGCCUCAGUUCGGAUUGGAGUCUGCAACUCGACUCCAUGAAGUCGGAGUCGCUAGUAAUCGCGGAUCAGCAUGCCGCGGUGAAUACGUUCCCGGCCCUUGUACACACCGCCCGUCACGCCAUGAAAGCUGGUAGCAUUCGAAGCCAGUCAACUAACCUUCGGGAGGUUGCUGUCGAAAAUGAGAUCAGCGAUUGGGGCGAAGUCGUAACAAGGUAGCCGUAGGGGAACCUGCGGCUGGAUCACCUCCUUU
RNAcentral lists this ribosomal RNA (451 nucleotides) under uncultured bacterium. RNAcentral describes it as "bacterial SSU rRNA". It matches the Rfam family "Bacterial small subunit ribosomal RNA", at positions 1078 to 1533 of the family's 1533-position model. The record is from RNAcentral.